UUUCAAUCUUGUUCCCUUCGCGGUUCGACGUGUGUCAAUCUGUGGAAAUAUAAAGAGAAGCUUUUACAAGAACAAAAAAAAAUUAUUUGCUCGUGCUUCACCUAACAGAGAGAUAAGGACACGAGAACUAUGAAAGUUUUAAAAGUAUAACUUACACGUGAAACUCUCCAUAAGGCUGUCCAGUGAUCUGUAACAAGAUGGCUGCCAAACCUGACAUCUGAACCUCAUUACCAUACUGCAUCUUGACUCUAACCAAUAUAUAAUGGAAUACUUCAGUAUUAAUCUGGUAAUGAUGGAUUUACUGCACUAAAACAAGAAGCAAAAACACUUGAUAACAAUAUAGACUCAUCUUGUUGAGCAUUGACCCAAGUAUCAAGCUGGGGGUGACCCUGUGACCUUCAUAAAAAUAUGGACUCGCCUUAAUUCUGUAUAAGUAUUGAUCUGAAUAUCAACUUGUUGACUCUGCAAACUUCAUAACCUUGUUGCUGUAUGAUUGUUGACCUGAAUAUCAACCUGAUGACCCUGUGACCUUCAUAACAAUAUGGACUCACCUUGUUGCCAUAGAAGUGUUGUUCAUAUCCCAAGCAGCAGUUUAUUACUAAUCAUCAGCUUGAUGACAAGUAUUGGUAUGUGUCAUCAUUAGAUUGUGAUGAUACUACAUUGCAUCAAGCUAUUGCCAGCAGAUGUAUGACAGACAAGUUAUCAGCAUCUUCAGCCAAACAUCAUGUUGUCAUAGUGAUGUUUUUGUCAAGGCCUGGACAGCCUGCACACACAACAAACAACUUGCCAGCCUCUCAGCCAAGGAUCAUGUUGUCAUGGUGAUGAUGCUGUCAAGUUCAAAAUUUUUGAUUUUUUCAUUACAACACAUUUAUUUACCGCUCUGUCACUAUGCCAAUCACAUACCCACAGCUGCAUUAUCAUAAAUUGAUGUUGUGGUUUGUUCAAAAUAGCCAAUAGCCAAAACUGAAUCAAAACUGAAAAAGUACUCACUCCCAACAGUGAACAACCGUCACAGGUACAAGGAUUAACCCUUGAAUGUGUUUAAUGGCUGACAUCAAUGUUGGACAGCCUUUUUUAUCAUCAAAGCCAAUUUCCAAUUAAAAAAGGACUGCAUAUUAUCAAUGAAUGGCCUUGACAUUAUCCAACACUGAUGACAACCAAAAAUAUUACAGAACAUGGAAGUCAACCCUUCCAGGAAUAAAUACAAAGACAUGCAUGAAAGAAGUUGGAUGAAACAUUGGCUGUCAUGGUGUCUAUAGUAUGUGGUACACCCAUUUUCAGUAUAAUUUUUCUGCUCUAAAUAAAUCAGUGCUUGCUCAUGUGACAGAUUUUGAUCAUGGUGUUUUCAAGUAAUUACUGGGCUGAAGAUUCUUGCUAAGUUUUACCUUCAAAUACUGAAUAUCUUUCAAGUAACAAGAACAUACUUAAUCCUAAUCACUAGCCAACAGACCCAGGGCUUAACAUACAUGAGAUCAACAUCUUUAAAUGUAUUUAGGUGAGAACAUAAAGUAAAAGAGAAGCAAAAUAUUAUGCAGAAUUCUACAAGCUUAACAUGUUGAUGCAUGCUUUGUUUAAAGAUUACCAACCCAUCUGUGGUUGGUAUUCAACUCUGAU
RNAcentral lists this long non-coding RNA (1614 nucleotides) under Actinia tenebrosa (Australian red waratah sea anemone). RNAcentral's name for it is "uncharacterized LOC116301960, transcript variant X1". The record is from RNAcentral. Lineage: Eukaryota; Metazoa; Cnidaria; Anthozoa; Actiniaria; Actiniidae.